RNAcentral lists this ribosomal RNA (279 nucleotides) under uncultured bacterium. RNAcentral's name for it is "partial 16S ribosomal RNA". It matches the Rfam family "Bacterial small subunit ribosomal RNA", at positions 506 to 784 of the family's 1533-position model. The record is from RNAcentral.
UGCCAGCAGCCGCGGUAAUACGGAGGGGGCUAGCGUUGUUCGGAAUUACUGGGCGUAAAGCGCGCGUAGGCGGGCUGGUCAGUUGGGGGUGAAAUCCCGAGGCUCAACCUCGGAACUGCCCUCAAUACUACCAGUCUCGAGUUCGGGAGAGGUGAGUGGAAUUCCUAGUGUAGAGGUGAAAUUCGUAGAUAUCUGAAGGAACAUCAGUGGCGAAGGCGGCUCACUGGCUCGAUACUGACGCUGAGAUGCGAAAGCGUGGGGAGCAAACAGGAUUAGAUA